RNAcentral lists this ribosomal RNA (846 nucleotides) under uncultured archaeon. RNAcentral describes it as "bacterial SSU rRNA". It matches the Rfam family "Archaeal small subunit ribosomal RNA", at positions 49 to 887 of the family's 1478-position model. The record is from RNAcentral.
CCAUGCGAGUCAAGGGGGCGUCCCUUCUGGGGCGCCACCGGCGGACGGCUCAGUAACACGUCGGUAACCUACCCUCGGGAGGGGGAUAACCCCGGGAAACUGGGGCUAAUCCCCCAUAGGCCUGGGGUACUGGAAGGUCCCCAGGCCGAAAGGGGCCUUGUGCCCGCCCGAGGAUGGGCCGGCGGCCGAUUAGGUAGUUGGUGGGGUAACGGCCCACCAAGCCGAAGAUCGGUACGGGCCGUGAGAGCGGGAGCCCGGAGAUGGACACUGAGACACGGGUCCAGGCCCUACGGGGCGCAGCAGGCGCGAAACCUCCGCAAUGCGGGAAACCGCGACGGGGGGACCCCCAGUGCCGUGCCUCUGGCACGGCUUUUCCGGAGUGUAAAAAGCUCCGGAAUAAGGGCUGGCAAGGCCGGUGGCAGCCGCCGCGUAAUACCGGCGGCCCGAGUGGUGGCCACUAUUAUUGGGCCUAAAGCAGCCGUAGCCGGGCCCGUAAGUCCCUGGCGAAAUCCCACGGCUCAACCGUGGGGCUCGCUGGGGAUACUGCGGGCCUUGGGACCGGGAGAGGCCGGGGGUACCCCCGGGGUAGGGGUGAAAUCCUAUAAUCCCGGGGGGACCGCCAGUGGCGAAGGCGCCCGGCUGGAACGGGUCCGACGGUGAGGGACGAAGGCCGGGGGAGCAAACCGGAUUAGAUACCCGGGUAGUCCCGGCUGUAAACUCUGCGGACUAGGUAUUGCGUGCCCUUCGGGGGCACGCAGUGCCGAAGGGAAGCCGUUAAGUCCGCCGCCUGGGGAGUACGGUCGCAAGACUGAAACUUAAAGGAAUUGGCGGGGAGCACUACAACGG